GGGGAGCCCCCUUUGUCCAUCUCUCCUCUUACUUGGGACGCUCCCGACACCAUCCCGGCUCUCGGUGGCUGCGCAGGAUGCGCCGUGCCCCCCCCAGCGGACAGGAAAAAGCAUUACACUCCUCCCAUCUCUGCCAAAAGCUGUGGUGGUUGAGCAGCCAAAGCCAGGAGGCUUCAGCACCAGGGCUCUGCGCUGGAGGGCUCCUGGUCCUGCCCAUGCCGUGCGGUCAGCAGGAACAAGAGGAAAUGGGGUGCCAGAGCCGUGUGCCAUCAGGCCGUGUUUCCCUCUGAGGACAGAGAGUCCGGGCUGAG
Long non-coding RNA from Catharus ustulatus (Swainson's thrush), 311 nucleotides. RefSeq lists it as uncharacterized. Lineage: Eukaryota; Metazoa; Chordata; Aves; Passeriformes; Turdidae. The transcript has 3 exons. The record is from RefSeq and is a predicted model, not a curated record.